RNAcentral lists this small RNA (125 nucleotides) under Marmota monax (woodchuck). Lineage: Eukaryota; Metazoa; Chordata; Mammalia; Rodentia; Sciuridae. The record is from RNAcentral.
GCUGGGUAUGGUGGUGCACACCUGUAUUCCCAGUGGCUUGGGAGGCUAAGGCAGGAGGAUCACGAGUUCAAAGCCAGCCUCAGCAAUGGUGAGGCACUAAGCAACUCAUCGAGAGCCUGUCUCUA